RNAcentral lists this ribosomal RNA (501 nucleotides) under uncultured bacterium. RNAcentral's name for it is "bacterial SSU rRNA". It matches the Rfam family "Bacterial small subunit ribosomal RNA", at positions 28 to 517 of the family's 1533-position model. The record is from RNAcentral.
GAUGAACGCUAGCUACAGGCUUAACACAUGCAAGUCGAGGGGCAGCAUGAUUGAAGCUUGCUUCAAUUGAUGGCGACCGGCGCACGGGUGAGUAACACGUAUCCAACCUUCCGUACACUCAGGGAUAGCCUUUCGAAAGAAAGAUUAAUACCUGAUGGUAUCUUAAGCACACAUGUAAUUAAGAUUAAAGAUUUAUCGGUGUACGAUGGGGAUGCGUUCCAUUAGGUAGUAGGCGGGGUAACGGCCCACCUAGCCUACGAUGGAUAGGGGUUCUGAGAGGAAGGUCCCCCCACAUUGGUACUGAGACACGGACCAAACUCCUACGGGAGGCAGCAGUGAGGAAUAUUGGUCAAUGGGCGCGAGCCUGAACCAGCCAAGUCGCGUGAGGGAUGACGGCCCUAUGGGUUGUAAACUGCUUUUAUAAGGGAAUAAAGUGAGUCUCGUGAGGCUUUUUGCAUGUACCUUAUGAAUAAGGACCGGCUAAUUCCGUGCCAGCAGCCG